Molecule: ribosomal RNA, 493 nt
Filed under: uncultured bacterium
Lineage: Bacteria
Description: partial 16S ribosomal RNA
Rfam family: Bacterial small subunit ribosomal RNA
Source: RNAcentral
AUUGAACGCUGGCGGCAUGCUUUACACAUGCAAGUCGAACGGUAACAGGUUAAGCUGACGAGUGGCGAACGGGUGAGUAAUGCAUCGGAACGUGCCCGAUCGUGGGGGAUAACGCAGCGAAAGCUGCGCUAAUACCGCAUACGAUCUGAGGAUGAAAGCGGGGGACCGUAAGGCCUCGCGCGAUCGGAGCGGCCGAUGUCAGAUUAGGUAGUUGGUGGGGUAAAGGCCCACCAAGUCGACGAUCUGUAGCUGGUCUGAGAGGACGACCAGCCACACUGGGACUGAGACACGGCCCAGACUCCUACGGGAGGCAGCAGUGGGGAAUUUUGGACAAUGGGCGAAAGCCUGAUCCAGCAAUGCCGCGUGCAGGAAGAAGGCCUUCGGGUUGUAAACUGCUUUUGUACGGAGCGAAAAGGUCCUUUCUAAUACAGGGGGCUCAUGACGGUACCGUAAGAAUAAGCACCGGCUAACUACGUGCCAGCAGCCGCAGUAA